This 1265-nucleotide long non-coding RNA is filed under the name Onthophagus taurus. RNAcentral describes it as "uncharacterized LOC111419300, transcript variant X1". Lineage: Eukaryota; Metazoa; Arthropoda; Insecta; Coleoptera; Scarabaeidae. The record is from RNAcentral.
AAUGUACAAAUAUUGCAAUAAUGUCUCUUGUAACGUUUACGUCAAAACUUCCGUCAAUUGUCAUCGAAUAAGAACAAAAAAGAGGCAGAUUUUCAAUUCUGCAUUUCGAAGAUGAUUAAGAACUAGAUGUCGGCAUGGAAGAGCAGUGAUUUCUCCAACAAGACGGCGCGCCACUACACUAUGCCCUUCCUGCUCGAGUAUAUUUAAACCAAUUAUUUUCCAAUUGAUAGAUUCGGAGAAGAGGCCCGAUUUGACUCUGCUGUACUUCUUCCUUUAAAUUUACACCACUAGACCAAAUACUUCUAAUGAACAAAAAAUCAGAAUCCUAGAACUUGAGAGAAUAAUUCUUGUUACCUUAGGGAAUUGUCGAAGAAUUUAAAAAUCGUUUACGAGCUGCCCAAGGUGAGGCCAAUCCUUUAAAAGUAUAGAUAGUACCGAUUUGUCUCAGUUGUGCACCAGUUAAACAUGCACUGAAAUUACAAACACCUUUAAGAAAGUUAUUUUGUUCAGCAAUAUAAUGACAUCAACUAUGGUUUUCCUGUAGUCUAACUUUUGAAGACAAUUUCUCAAUUUAACAGUUUGUGGACGAAUUGCAUGGAUUUAGGAUGGUCAAUCAUUGUGUAACUAAAAUGGGGCCAACACGUUGAUUGUAAAUAUAUUGUCUAAUAUUCAAUGGAACUUCCUUAGGUCUAUCAAAUUAAUUACGAAAAAGGAAAAUUGAUGCUGAAUGUGACUUUCCACUGUCACAUGUAGGUUAUUAUCAGAUCCACAUAAAUGUAUAUUAUUUCCACAAUAUGUUGCUGAGGUAUCUUAAUGAUUUCAUAUUUGUGAUAUGUAGUUAGGAAUCAGUCUUUCAUGGCUGUGCUAUGGAUGGGUACGCUAGUGUUCUACAAAGAAUAAUUGCCACAGAGCUUCAGAAUAAUUCUUUGUGGAAUGCAUGUGUAUGUGCAACCUGUACAUUUUGGGAUCUGCGUUUUUGAUAAUUUAUUUUGUUAAAGUAUCCAAAAUGUAACUCUUUCUUAUAAUUCUGCUUAUUUUCUAUGUACUUCAUAUUAUGUAACUGAUCACAUAAUUAUAAGGACUUAUCUUGGUCAAAGAGGUUGAGAUGAGAUCUUUUCGAGAUAUACAGGGUGUCAAAUAAAAAACGCCCCUUUGUCAUUUACAUUCUGAUUUUCAUGAGCGAGAUAUCAAAUAGUAUAAUAGGAUAAUAAAAAUAGUUCGAAAAAAAAGCAGAUUGACACUAAUGAAGUUCAAGCUCUUUGUCA